AAAAAAUAGAAAACUCUAACUACUGAAAGUUCUAACCCACUACUGUUAUUAGUGGCAUACAAUUUCCUGGGAUACUCACUUAAACUCUACCCUAUAAAAAAAACAAAUAAAUAUUAGAUUAGUAAUAAUAUAAAACACAUUUGGUUAUCCUAAUGAGACAAAACAAUCACCACCACAAUAAACCAGAGUAAUCUAUUCGAAAGCAAAAGCAUUCCAUAGAGGAAAAUAAAUAAAGAAUUUAAUCAACAUGAGAACUCAACAAUCAUUAAAAGUACAGAAAUAGGACAAAUACGAGGAGGUGAUCACUGACCGGAAAAUAAUAGGGGGUGCAACGCGGUUCCGAUCGGAGGGAGAAAACCGUAUGGUUGUGGGAGUUGCUCCAGCACCGAGGCUUUAUGCAAUUGUGAGCAUGGAUGUCGGAUCUAUGUUGUUCUUGUGAUGGUGACGACAAGCGAGAUGCGACCGGAUUGAUGUCAGAGCUUUGAUGAUGCAUUUACGGUGACAAUAACGGCAAUGGUCACGAAGCUAAUGUGCGGUUGUCUGCAAGAGAUCACCUAGUCAUUUGAUGGAGUUUGCACAUUGGUGUCGUCGGAGGCUCCACGCGGUGGUGAUUCUUUCCGGAACGAAUAUCCGAUCUUGCUCCUCUUUCCUUUUGAUUUGAUUUUGUUUAUGUGGUUUGUGGUGAUAUUGACUUUAUGAAUGGUGGUGUUGAUUUAAUUUAAUGGUGAUAUUAUGGAAAUUUCGAAGGUUGGUGAGAGAUGUUGGUGAUGAUGGAGAUGUAAGGUUGAUUGAAGAUGGAGGUCUUUGUUGAGUGUUUUAAAGAGAACAUUGGAUUGUUGUUGUUGGUAACAAGUUUGUGUUGUAAUUUUUUGUGGAGUGUAUAGUGUAUUCGUUAUGUCUCCCUAGUGUGUAAAAGCUCUCAAUUUAUACUGGUUAUGUCAUUAAACUGAAUUAUUUGCUUUGAUUCACUUUUCAAAUUGAUUUUAAAGAAGCUAUUGAAUGAGAUUAAAUUUGGUUUUAA
RNAcentral lists this long non-coding RNA (1021 nucleotides) under Lathyrus oleraceus (garden pea). Its description in RNAcentral is "Pisum sativum (pea) long non-coding RNA (PSAT_LNC042194)". Lineage: Eukaryota; Viridiplantae; Streptophyta; Magnoliopsida; Fabales; Fabaceae. The record is from RNAcentral.